UCGGUAGCCUCUGUGCCUUGACC
RNAcentral lists this non-coding RNA (23 nucleotides) under Mus musculus (house mouse). The record is from RNAcentral. Lineage: Eukaryota; Metazoa; Chordata; Mammalia; Rodentia; Muridae.